This 31-nucleotide non-coding RNA is filed under the name Mus musculus (house mouse). Lineage: Eukaryota; Metazoa; Chordata; Mammalia; Rodentia; Muridae. The record is from RNAcentral.
UCCUUGCACGCGGGUNCCGCUCCUGUGCAGC